CACCGCGGUUAUACGAGAGGCCCCAGUUGAUGGACACGGCGUAAAGGGUGGUUAAGGUUUAGUAAAAAUAAAGCCAAAAGACCUCUUGGCUGUCAUACGCCCCUGAGUCUCCGAAGCCCACAUACGAAGGUAGCUUUAAUACUAUAUUUACCUGACCCCACGAAAGCUGAGAAACAAACUGGGAUUAGAUACCCCACUAUGCUCAGCCAUAAACUUAGGCGUUAUUUUACAAUUAACGCCCGCCAGGGUACUACGAGCAUUAGCUUAAAACCCAAAGGACUUGGCGGUGCCUUAGACCCCCCUAGAGGAGCCUGUUCUAGAACCGAUAACCCCCGUUAAACCUCACCACUUCUGGCCAUCCCCGCCUAUAUACCGCCGUCGUCAGCUUACCCUGUGAAGGAUAAAUAGUAAGCAAAGUGAAUAUAAUCCAAAACGUCAGGUCGAGGUGUAGCGAACGAAGUGGGAAGAAAUGGGCUACAUUUUCUUUAAUAAGAAUAUUACGGACAACACUAUGAAAACUUAGUGCUUGAAGGAGGAUUUAGUAGUAAAAAGGAAAUAGAGUGUCCUUUUGAACCUGGCUCUGAGGCGCGUACACACCGCCCGUCACUCUCCCCGCCAAUAGCAACAAAUGUUAAUAACAUAUAAGCACAAAUAAGGGGAGGCAAGUCGUAACAUGGUAAGUGUACCGGAAGGUGCACUUGGAUCAAAUCAGGGCGUGGCUGAG
Molecule: ribosomal RNA, 724 nt
Filed under: Misgurnus anguillicaudatus (oriental weatherfish)
Lineage: Eukaryota; Metazoa; Chordata; Actinopteri; Cypriniformes; Cobitidae
Description: partial small subunit ribosomal RNA
Rfam family: Bacterial small subunit ribosomal RNA
Source: RNAcentral